UAGUACCGUACCUGUGCAGCUGU
RNAcentral lists this non-coding RNA (23 nucleotides) under Cricetulus griseus (Chinese hamster). The record is from RNAcentral. Lineage: Eukaryota; Metazoa; Chordata; Mammalia; Rodentia; Cricetidae.